CAGAGAUAGGGGCCUAAAUCCGGACUGCCAGGAGGCGCCUUCCUCUGCUUGUGAUUCUCAGCGUCUCUGGGGUCAGGUGCCCACGCUAGCAAGAAGCCAGGAUACCCUACAGGUUCAAUGUCAAGGGCUUGACCUUAGAUGUGUCUCACAUUUUACUACAUCGAUAAGCUGUUGGGCUAUUGCCGAGGGUUGAACCCGGACAAUAGAUGAGAUAAAACCCAACUGGAAGAUUGUAGAGGUGAGUCCAAGCUGAAGUGAAGCACAGAGCACCCC
This is a long non-coding RNA of Mauremys reevesii (Reeves's turtle), 273 nucleotides long. RefSeq lists it as uncharacterized. The transcript has 3 exons. NCBI's taxonomy places the organism in Eukaryota, Metazoa, Chordata, Testudines, Geoemydidae. The record is from RefSeq and is a predicted model, not a curated record.